AACCAGAUGGUAACCCAGACAAUCGUGCAAUGUGAGAACAGCAGCGAUUUGAUGACUUUGAAAAUCAUGCAGUGUGUGCCCGGCAUUAGAGGAGGACUGCAGGACUCUACAGAAGCAUUCAGCACAUGACCAUGGCGGCAUGAAAAAAAAAGCCUCGUCCACCAUCUCCAGACCACUCCAGCCUGCCUUUGAUGGGAUUAGAGUCCAUGGUGACGUCAUCCGAAAGCUCUGUAUAGUAAAAAUAAAACCCCUUUUUAAAGUCAGGCCUGACAGACAUGCAGUUUGCUCCUCUUCCUGCGGAGCGCUAAUGCAGAUCUGAGUGCAUUACCCUGAUUGCAACACUUAAUGGAGUCACAGUCUUUCCCAUGGGUGACCACCAUCUCAACAAAUCCACAUGAGGGCAAAGGUCAGGGUGAAUGUCACUUCCAUGACUGUCUUAAAAGC
Sinocyclocheilus anshuiensis is the source of this 444-nucleotide long non-coding RNA. RefSeq lists it as uncharacterized. The transcript is spliced from 3 exons. Lineage: Eukaryota; Metazoa; Chordata; Actinopteri; Cypriniformes; Cyprinidae. The record is from RefSeq and is a predicted model, not a curated record.